Molecule: long non-coding RNA, 854 nt
Filed under: Musa acuminata (dwarf banana)
Lineage: Eukaryota; Viridiplantae; Streptophyta; Magnoliopsida; Zingiberales; Musaceae
Description: long non-coding RNA (MACU_LNC004191)
Source: RNAcentral
AUAUAUUUUUUAAAGUAUAAAAACCAAAACGAUAAAAUUAACUAGGUACAAUUAGCCCGAGUUGGUAACUUCAGCACCGAGAUGCUGAGCUAAUUGUGAAUGCAAAGGUUUCCGCUUAAUGCUACAAAGGUUUCCACUCUUCUUGCUGAGCUGCAUACUGGCAGUGUCCCAUCAGAUACAUUCACCCAACCAAAGAUGUCAAAUUCAAUUCAGAUAUCAUAUCACCAAGAAGACAAAAGUGUCGACUUAAAUGUUCUACAAUAGACGUCUUUUAUUAUCAAGUAGCAGUUCAGGACACAAACCAGCACUAUAAUUAUUGGCCCCCUCCCUUUGCCAAGCGUUGCAUCAUUAAACAUCGAAUAAGUACAUAAAAUAGAUGUAGCAUGCGACUUCCCAUUAACAUCCAUGCUGAAAUAAAUGCUGCUGCCGGCAGACAACCGUCCCCCAUGAAGUUCGAAUGUCAGCUUUUGGUAAUACACCAUGAGAAGCCGAAAGAGAAUAGAGGCGGCUUUCGUGGAAGAGAAGGAUGAUAGACUGCCUGAUAGGAACAGUAGCUGUGUUGUCUAUAGCCAUGAGAAGCUCUGAGUGACACUCACUUUUGGUAAAUCUGGUGAACACCGAAAUAGAUACCACGAAAUAAAUUGCAGUGUUUCAACUUCCACCAGAUUCCAGAGAGAGACACUAGUAAGAAAUAAGUUGUACUAUGGUUGAAGAACCAAAACAAAUCAGGGAAGCGCUGCAAAAUUUACUGAUGAGCAUCUCUUCUAAGGCAGAACUCACAAGUAGUGUGAAUCCAUUUUCUUUUCUUGACAUCGUCCUUUCAGUAAAUAUUGGCCCAUAGCUAUAACAAACAC